RNAcentral lists this long non-coding RNA (242 nucleotides) under Callithrix jacchus (white-tufted-ear marmoset). Its description in RNAcentral is "lncRNA (ENSCJAG00000075954.1)". The record is from RNAcentral. Lineage: Eukaryota; Metazoa; Chordata; Mammalia; Primates; Cebidae.
GACAAGUCUCACUCUGUUGCUACGCUGGAGUGUGGUGGCACCAUCUUGGCUCACUGCAACCUCUGCCUCUGGAGUUCAAGUGAUUCUCCUGCCUCAGCCUCCCAAGUAGCUGAGACUACAGAUAUUUCUUCCUCCCUUUACUUUGAGCCUGGGGGUGUUAUGGAAUGUGAGCUACAUCUCCUGAAGAUAGUCGCUUACUGGGUGUUGCUUCUUCAUUCAACUUGGUACUCUGUGUCUUUAAA